AUCGCUUCUCGGCCUUUUGGCUAAGAUCAAGUGUAGUAUCUAAAGACAAAUCACUGUGUGUGUGUGUGUUUGUGCGCGCGCGCGCUAUUUUGGAAAUGGCAGUCAAUAUUUUCUAAAGUGUUUUACCAAAAUAAAUUUUA
Ictidomys tridecemlineatus (thirteen-lined ground squirrel) is the source of this 140-nucleotide small nuclear RNA. Its record names the gene U2. It matches the Rfam family "U2 spliceosomal RNA". From Rfam's summary of the family: U2 is a small nuclear RNA (snRNA) component of the spliceosome (involved in pre-mRNA splicing). Complementary binding between U2 snRNA (in an area lying towards the 5' end but 3' to hairpin I) and the branchpoint sequence (BPS) of the intron results the bulging out of an unpaired adenosine, on the BPS, which initiates a nucleophilic attack at the intronic 5' splice site, thus starting the first of two transesterification reactions that mediate splicing. Lineage: Eukaryota; Metazoa; Chordata; Mammalia; Rodentia; Sciuridae. The record is from Ensembl.